Molecule: ribosomal RNA, 1482 nt
Filed under: Planococcus antarcticus
Lineage: Bacteria; Bacillati; Bacillota; Bacilli; Caryophanales; Caryophanaceae
Description: bacterial SSU rRNA
Rfam family: Bacterial small subunit ribosomal RNA
Source: RNAcentral
AUGCAAGUCGAGCGGAACCAUUGGAGCUUGCUCCUUUGGUUUAACGGCGGACGGGUGAAUAACACGUGGGCCACCUGGCCUGGAGAUCGGGAUAACUCCGGGAAACCGGUGCUAAUACCGAAUAAUUUGGGGCCUCUCCUGGAGCGCCACGGAAAGACGGUUUCCGCUGGCCCUGGAGGAAGGGCCCGCGGCGCAUUAACUAGUUGGGGGGGUAAUGGCCUACCAAGGGGACCAAGCGUAACCCAACUGAAAGGGUGAUCGGCCCCCCUGGGACUGAAACCCGGCCCAAAAUCCUACGGGAAGCAGCAAUAAGGAAUCCUCCGCAAUGGACGAAAGUCUGAAGGAACAACGCCCCGGGAAUGACCAAAGUUUUCCGAACCUAAAACUCUGUUGGGAAGGAAAAACACGUACCAGCUAACUACUGGUACCUUGGCGGUACCUCCCCCAAAAGCCCCGGCUAACUACGUGCCCACAGCCGCGGUAAUACGUAAGUGGCAAGGGUUGUCCGGAAUUAUUGGGCGUAAAGCCCGCGCAGGCCGUUCUUUAAGGUUGAAGGGAAAGCCCACGGCUCCACCGGCGACCGAGGUGAGUGACGGAUCUUGAGAAGACGGCGGUCUGAUGUAUGGAGGGUCAUUGGAAACUGGAGAACUUGAGUGCAGAAGAGGAAAGUGGAAUUCCAUGUGUAGCGGUGAAAUGCGUAGAGAUGUGGAGGAACACCAGUGGCGAAGGCGACUUUCUGGUCUGUAACUGACGCUGAGGCGCGAAAGCGUGGGGAGCAAACAGGAUUAGAUACCCUGGUAGUCCACGCCGUAAACGAUGAGUGCUAAGUGUUAGGGGGUUUCCGCCCCUUAGUGCUGCAGCUAACGCAUUAAGCACUCCGCCUGGGGAGUACGGCCGCAAGGCUGAAACUCAAAGGAAUUGACGGGGGCCCGCACAAGCGGUGGAGCAUGUGGUUUAAUUCGAAGCAACGCGAAGAACCUUACCAGGUCUUGACAUCCCGCUGCCCGGUGUAGAGAUACGCCUUUCCCUUCGGGGACAGCGGUGACAGGUGGUGCAUGGUUGUCGUCAGCUCGUGUCGUGAGAUGUUGGGUUAAGUCCCGCAACGAGCGCAACCCUUGAUCUUAGUUGCCAGCAUUCAGUUGGGCACUCUAAGGUGACUGCCGGUGACAAACCGGAGGAAGGUGGGGAUGACGUCAAAUCAUCAUGCCCCUUAUGACCUGGGCUACACACGUGCUACAAUGGACGGUACAAAGGGCUGCAAACCCGCGAGGGGGAGCCAAUCCCAGAAAACCGUUCUCAGUUCGGAUUGCAGGCUGCAACUCGCCUGCAUGAAGCCGGAAUCGCUAGUAAUCGUGGAUCAGCAUGCCACGGUGAAUACGUUCCCGGGCCUUGACACACCGCCCGUCACACCACGAGAGUUUGUAACACCCGAAGUCGGUGAGUAACCCUUGUGGAGCCAGCCGCCGAAGGUGACCGAUGUCC